GGAAACUCUAUCGUCGAAAAC
RNAcentral lists this microRNA (21 nucleotides) under Ananas comosus (pineapple). RNAcentral's name for it is "microRNA s0706_c92a". Lineage: Eukaryota; Viridiplantae; Streptophyta; Magnoliopsida; Poales; Bromeliaceae. The record is from RNAcentral.